This 465-nucleotide ribosomal RNA is filed under the name Vreelandella stevensii. RNAcentral's name for it is "partial 16S ribosomal RNA". It matches the Rfam family "Bacterial small subunit ribosomal RNA", at positions 338 to 795 of the family's 1533-position model. The record is from RNAcentral. Lineage: Bacteria; Pseudomonadati; Pseudomonadota; Gammaproteobacteria; Oceanospirillales; Halomonadaceae.
CCUACGGGUGGCAGCAGUGGGGAAUAUUGGACAAUGGGCGAAAGCCUGAUCCAGCCAUGCCGCGUGUGUGAAGAAGGCCUUCGGGUUGUAAAGCACUUUCAGUGGGGAAGAAAGCCUUGGGGCUAAUACCCUCGAGGAAGGACAUCACCCACAGAAGAAGCACCGGCUAACUCCGUGCCAGCAGCCGCGGUAAUACGGAGGGUGCGAGCGUUAAUCGGAAUUACUGGGCGUAAAGCGCGCGUAGGCGGUCUGAUAAGCCGGUUGUGAAAGCCCCGGGCUCAACCUGGGAACGGCAUCCGGAACUGUCAGGCUAGAGUGCAGGAGAGGAAGGUAGAAUUCCCGGUGUAGCGGUGAAAUGCGUAGAGAUCGGGAGGAAUACCAGUGGCGAAGGCGGCCUUCUGGACUGACACUGACGCUGAGGUGCGAAAGCGUGGGUGGCAAACAGGAUUAGAUACCCCAGUAGUC